This is a long non-coding RNA of Amphimedon queenslandica, 896 nucleotides long. RefSeq lists it as uncharacterized. The transcript is spliced from 3 exons. The record is from RefSeq and is a predicted model, not a curated record. NCBI's taxonomy places the organism in Eukaryota, Metazoa, Porifera, Demospongiae, Haplosclerida, Niphatidae.
GGUUGUGAUCAUUGUUCAGCAUUCAAGGGCGGAUCUGCAUGAGUAGGUGCAAGUUAAUGGGCGUACCGGUACUCUAACUAGGGUGUAUACUGGGUAGUCGAGCGAGUACUGAUUGACCUUUGAUUAUAGAUGACACUAUGUUCUAUACAUUGGUUCGCAUGCAAGACUGCUCUGGCUGCAUGCAAGACUGACUUAACAAUCUGUAUUUUACUCAUUUAUAUAAUACCUUGCGUAUAGCCGAGCCCAAGUGCACAUGCCCUCCUGAUAUAGCUGAAGAAGUCAAGGCUGCAAUUGGUUCUUUCGUACCACUCUACCAGUAUUUAGGAUCAGGUCAUGGUGCUAAUCAUUUCUACACUACCUCUCCAGAUGAGGUUGGAACUACCAUCCCUGGUCAAAUAGGUAAACAUGGUUUCAAGAGUGAAGGAAUUGCUGCUCACAUUUAUGCUGCUCCAGCUGUUGUUCCACUUUACAGAUAUUACAAUGGAGGAAUACAAGAUAGUCUCUAUACAGCAAACUUCAACGAGUUAAGAUGUGAAGCUGCUGGUUGGAAAUAUGAAGGCAUUCAAGGAUAUUGCUUCAAGAAUUCUUUGCCUGGCAUCAAUCGCCCUUUGUACCGAUACUGGAGUGAUAAUGCUAAUGAUCAUUUUUACACAACAAAUGAAUCUGAGAUUGGAACAACAACCAUUGGAGUUACAGGGAAUCAUGGUUAUAGAUUUGAAGAUAUAGUCUGCUAUGUUGUAUAAUGGAACCAUUGAAACUAGCACAAACAAUAGUAGAGAAACAUUUUCUUUAUUUUUUUUGUAGCGUCACAAUGAGUUUUUAUGCAUGAGAAUAAGAGGAAAAAUAAUAAUAAUAAUCAUACUAAUACAUUUUAAUUGAGUUGCUAAUAAUUUGAA